CAGCCUCAUACCACACGCGUUGAGAGAUGCUCAGCUCUGCCCUCGAAGACCAACUCUGGGCCGCCAAGUGGGCCGAGGAAGCCGCCAGAGCUCAAGGGCUCAUCGCCGACGCCUAGGCGGGCAUGUAUCGCCCAAUUCCUGAAUGACUCAAAGGACCUUUUCUCCUUCUUUGUUGCAAAAGAAAAAUAAGGAAGAACGAAGAAACAUUCUAAAUACAUAUGGCGCCCUGCAGGGCCUUUGUUUGUACUUUCUUCGUGUUCAAGUUUAGCGCGUGGUUAUCAUCGUAACGUAGCAUUCUCGACAGGAAAGUAGCGAGCGCAGCGUUUUCAAGGAAGUAAACGCAACAAAGAGAGAUGACGUUUAUCGUUGUGAGACAAGAUCAGCCCCACAGAGUGCAAACUUUUUUAGGAGUCUAGACAAGCGUUAGUGUCUUCGUAUUUGCCUGUAGUCUCCGCCAAAAGACCGCUUUUUUUUUUUCUUAGAAAACCGAUGCCACGCAUUAAAACGAAAAGUCUCAGGUUUUAAAACCGAAACCUCUGUACGCGCCGCAAUGAACCAAUCGGCAUUGUCGCUUCGCAACAUGCACGCGCACGGACGCACGCGCUUCCACCGAGCCGGGGCCCACGCAUUCCGUGCCGCAUUAGCCCUGCUGGUGUUCGAACGCCACUUCAGAGCUGUGUCCACUGUGUCCACCAUCGAGGAUCAUUAAUAUCUUGGCACCUUUUGUCAAGGCUGUUUGAAGUGGGCUUAACACUGUUUGAGUGCACACCUGAAACCUCCUGCGAGCUGCUAAGUCCACGCAGCAUGAUGACAGUGCUGGGCAAUACGUUGGAGCAGCUCAACGAUGCCAUGAGAGCCGACAAAGGCGUGCCUUUCUCCAGGCUCCAAGGCAUCCUAUCACAACUUCCACCAUCAAUCCGGGGCCGGUUCGGUGCAAGAACUGAAACCAUACGGUUGGUGGCGAGACAUUUUCCCAGCAAGAUUGUUGUCGGUUCAGACAACAGAGUUUACACAUCCACACAACCUCUCGCAUCUGCCAGAAACAGUGGAGCAAAGAGCCACAGUGCGGCUGACAAGAAACACCUCAACAUGACUGAUGGACCCAUUGAGCUCUGUAAUGUCACAGGAACCAUCUCAAAGUUGUUAAAGCUUUAUGGUUUUGUCGAUUUGGUACAUCCACUUCGAGCUAGUGUUUCUUUUGACAAGAUAUUAUUCAAGAAAAAUAGGCACCAUGACCUAACAAAGUUGGGGCUCAAGCUAGGCAAUGUAGUCAUAUUAGAUGCAGUAAAAUGUCCACCAAGCCACAGAGCUACGUAUCAGGCCACUCACAUAGAACUUCAAAGAAAAAUGGCACAUACGAGAAGCCCCGCAACGAAGCAGGCAGCGUACCAACCAGGUAGUGACGGCAUUGGAAGUGGACUUCCUGGCUCAAUCCAAGCCGUCAAUUCAAGCCACGCAUAUAUAUUAUUCGGUGAAGACAAUAUGGAGUGUUACUACUUUUCUAUUGAUAACAUUGACGAGUCCUUGCUUCAGCCUGAAAAGAGUUUGAAUGACUUAUUUAGCGUCGGGGACAAGGUUCUCUAUGAUGCCCAACCUCCGAACCCUUACCCCACUGAUGAGCUUUGUGAGAGAGCCUUGGCCAGCUCCGACCUCGAGAAUCGGCAACGGCUGAUUGCGAGGGCCCAUAACGCGGCCUGAGCUCAAGGCAUUCUGGAAUGAGGAUGCCUCUCCAAAGCUGCAUUCACCCGUUAAAAACGUUAAUUCUCUCUCUCUUUCGUUUUCCGACAACGACAUCGCUGAGCUACUGUUUGACCCAAAGGAGUUCUCUGCACGAAGGAAACUGUCCGGUAUCAAAGGCUCAUUCUUCCCAAACUCCAAGAUUACGGGUCUUGUAUCCACUGUUCAACCUAAUGUCAUGGUCCUAGUUCCAGACACAGUGACGUAUUGCAACAGAAGGAAGAUCAGGACAUUCAGCGAGUGGCUGAAAGACAGCUUCGUCCUAGAAGAUUUAGAUGCCUUUAUAGACACCAUCGAAGCUGAACAGGACAUAUGGUUAGCGAUGCUCAUGUGGAAUGGUUGACGUCCCGAGCACGUCCCUGCACUUCGAAUUCUCAGAGAAAAUGACAUCAUUCGGAUUGACUACAUUGUCGGUAUGGUUGGAGGGAGGGUGGAGGUGUGCAGCCGCCUUGUGCAGCACGGCGAAAUGCGUCCCUCAGAGUUUGGCCUGCUGCUGAAGGCCAGGGCGGCGCAGCAAGACAUCCCUGCAGCACCUGGCAAGCUCUGCACACUAGCUCUCACGGCAUUGGACAAGGAGGGCCAAGCAUCCAAGCUGCAACUUUCCCGACGUCCAGAAAUCGGGAACUAACAGUCUGCCUCCAGAACCCGGUUGCUCCAAAUGGCCGUCGUCAGAUUCGCUUGGAAAGAUACUGGCUGUCAAGCAAGAUGGCACUUUUUGUCAAGGCUGUUUGAGUGGGCUUAACACUAUUUGAGUGCACACCUGAAACCUCCUGCCAGGUGCUAAAUCCACGCAGGAUGAUGACACUGCUGGGCAACACGUUGGAGCACCUCCUCAAUGAUGCCAUGAGAGCCGUCAAAGGUGUGCUUCUCUCCAGACUCCAAGGCAUCCUAUCACAACUUCCACCAUCAAUCCGGGGCCGGUUCGGUGCAAGAACUGAAACCAUAGGGUUGGUGGCGAGACAUUUUCCCAGCAAGAUUGUUGUCAGUUCAGACAACAGAGUUUACACAUCCACACAACCUCUCGCAUCUACCAGAAACAGUGGAGCAAAGAGCCACAGUCCGGCUGACAAGAAACAUCUCGACAUGACUGACGCACCCUUUGAGCUCUGUAAUGUCACAGGCACCGUCUCAAAGUUGUUGAUGCUUUAUGGUUUUGUGGAUUUAGUGCGUCCACUUCGAGCUAGUGUUUCUUUUGACAAGGUGUUCUUCAAGAAAAAUAGGCACCAUGACCUAACAAAGUUGGGGCUCAAGCUAGGCAAUGUAGUCAUAUUAGAUGCAGUAAAAUGUCCACCAAGCCACAGAGCUAAGUAUCAGGCCACUCACAUAGAAUUUCUAAGAAAAAUGGCACAUACGAGCAGCCCCGCAACGAAGCAGGCAGCGUACUAACCAGGUAGUGACGGCAUUGGAAGUGGACUUCCUGGCUCAAUCCAAGCCGUCAAUUCAAGCCACGCAUAUAUAUUAUUCGGUGAAGACAAUAUGGAGUGUUACUACUUUUCUAUUGAUAACAUUGACGAGUCCUUGCUUCAGCCUGAAAAGAGUUUAAUGACUUAUUUAGCGUCGGGGACAAGGUUCUCUUUGAUGCCCAACCUCCGAACCCUUACCCCACUGAUGAGCUUUGUGAGAGAGCCUUGGCAAGCUCCGACCUCGAGAAUCGGCAACGGUUGAUCGCGAGUUCCCAUGACGCGGCCUGAGCUGAAGGCAUUCUGGAAUGAGGAUGCCUCUCCAAAGCUGCAUUCACCCGUUAAAAACGUUCAUUCUCUCUCUCUUUCGUUUUCCCCCAACGACAUCGCUGAGCUACUGCUUGACCCAAAGGAGUUCUCUGCACGAAGGAAACUGUCCGGUAUCAAAGGCUCAUUCUUCCCAAACUCCAAGAUUACGGGUCUUGUAUCCACUGUUCAACCUAAUGUCAUGGUCAUAGUUCCAGACACAGUGACGUAUUGCAACAGAAGGAAGAUCAGGACAUUCAGCGAGUGGUUGAAAGACAGCUUCGUCCUAGAAGAUUUAGAUGCCUUUAUAGACACCAUCGAAGCUGAACAGGACAUAUGGUUAGCGAUGCUCAUGUGGAAUGGUUGACGUCCCGAGCACGUCCCUGCACUUCGAAUUCUCAGAGAAAAUGACAUCAUUUGGAUUGACUACAUUGUCGGUAUGGUUGGAGGGAGGGUGGAGGUGUGCAGCCGCCUUGUGCAGCACGGCGAAAGGCCUUCAAACGCGCACCAAAUGCGUCCCUCAGAGUUUGGCCUGCUGCUGAAGGCCAGGGCGGCGCAGCAAGACAUCCCUGCAGCACCUGGCAAGCUCUGCACACUAGCUCUCACGGCAGUGGACAAGGAGGGCCAAGCAGUGCUCCAAGCUGCAACUUUCCCGACGUCCAGAAAUCGGGAACUAACAGUCUGCCUCCAGAAUCCGGUUGCUCCAAAUGGCCGUCGUCAGAUGCGCUUGGAAAGAUACUGGCUGUCAAGCAAGAUGCAUCCCUGGGCAAUGCAAGAGACCAAUUGGUACCCUGAGUUACUGAGCAAGGCAAUAUCAUCAGCGAAUCGCAAGUUACUAAGGUAGUAUUCUCCAUUAACUUUUAUCCCCAAUUCAUCCCAAUCCAGGUCUCUGACUGCCUCCUGUAAACAUGUGUUUAAUAGCAUUGGAAAGAUAGGGGGGGGGGGGGGGGUCGCAUCGGUGGCGCAGCCUCGAACAAAACGCGUUGGGAGAUGCUCAGCUCUGCCCUCGAAGACCAACUCUGGGCCGCCAAGCGGGCCGAGGAAGCCGGCAGAGCUCAAGGGCUCAUCGCCGACGCCUAGGCGGGGAUGUAUUGUGCAAUCCCCGAAUAACUCAACGGACCUUUUCUCUUUCUUUGUUGCAAAACAAAAAAGAGAGAAGAAGGAAAAAAGAAGAAACAUUCUAAAUACAUAUAUGACGCCCUGCAGGGCCUUUGUUUGUACUUUCUUCGUGUUUGUUCAAGUUUUGCGCGUGGUUAUCGUCGUGACGUAGCAUUCUCGACAGGAAAGUAGCGAGCGCAGCGUUUUCAAGGAAGUAAAUGCAACAAAGAGAGAUGACGGUUAUCGUUGUUUUUCUUAGAAAACCGAUGCCACGUGUUAAAACGAAGUCUUAGGCUUUAAAACCGAAACCUCUGUACGCGCCGCAAGGAACCAAUCGGCAUCGUCGCUUCGCAACAUGCAUGAGCACGGACGCACGCGCAUCGAGCGAGCCUGGUCCCACGCAUUCCGUGCCGCAAUAACCCUGCUGGUGUUCGAACGCCACUUCAGAGCUGUGUCCACUGUGUCCACCAUCGAGGAGCAUUGAUAUCUUGGCACUUUUUGUCAAGGCUGUUUGAGUGGGCUUAACACUAUUUGAGGUGCUAAAUCCACGCAGGAUGAUGACACUGCUGGGCAACACGUUGGAGCACCUCCUCAAUGAUGCCAUGAGCGCCGUCAAAGGCGUGCUUCUCUCCAGACUCCAAGGCAUCCUAUCACAACUUCCACCAUCAAUCCGCGGCCGGUUCGGUGCAAGAACUGAAACCAUAGGGUUGGUGGCGAGACAUUUUCCCAGCAAGAUUGUUGUCAGUUCAGACAGCAGAGUUUACACAUCCACACAACCUCUCGCAUCUACCAGAAACAGUGGAGCAAAGAGCCACAGUCCGGCUGACAAGAAACAUCUCGACAUGACUGACGCACCCUUUGAGCUCUGUAAUGUCACAGGCACCGUCUCAAAGUUGUUGAUGCUUUAUGGUUUUGUGGAUUUAGUGCGUCCACUUCGAGCUAGUGUUUCUUUUGACAAGGUGUUCUUCAAGAAAAAUAGGCACCAUGACCUAACAAAGUUGGGGCUCAAGCUAGGCAAUGUAGUCAUAUUAGAUGCAGUAAAAUGUCCACCAAGCCACAGAGCUAAGUAUCAGGCCACUCACAUAGAACUUCAAAGAAAAAUGGCACAUACGAGCAGCCCCGCAACGAAGCAGGCAGCGUACCAACCAGGUAGUGACGGCAUUGGAAGUGGACUUCCUGGCUCAAUCCAAGCCGUCAAUUCAAGCCACGCAUAUAUAUUAUUCGGUGAAGACAAUAUGGAGUGUUACUACUUUUCUAUUGAUAACAUUGACGAGUCCUUGCUUCAGCCUGAAAAGAGUUUAAUGACUUAUUUAGCGUCGGGGACAAGGUUCUCUUUGAUGCCCAACCUCCGAACCCUUACCCCACUGAUGAGCUGUGUGAGAGAGCCUUGGCCAGCUCCGACCUCGAGAAUCGGCAACGGUUGAUUGCGAGGUCCCAUGACGCGGCCUGAGCUGAAGGCAUUCUGGAAUGAGGAUGCCUCUCCAAAGCUGCAUUCACCCGUUAAAAACGUUCAUUCUCUCUCUCUUUCGUUUUCCGACAACGACAUCGCUGAGCUACUGCUUGACCCAAAGGAGUUCUCUGCACGAAGGAAACUGUCCGGUAUCAAAGGCUCAUUCUUCCCAAACUCCAAGAUUACGGGUCUUGUAUCCACUGUUCAACCUAAUGUCAUGGUCCUAGUUCCAGACACAGUGACGUAUUGCAACAGAAGGAAGAUCAGGACAUUCAGCGAGUGGUUGAAAGACAGCUUCGUCCUAGAAGAUUUAGAUGCCUUUAUAGACACCAUCGAAGCUGAACAGGACAUAUGGUUAGCGAUGCUCAUGUGGAAUGGUUGACGUCCCGAGCACGUCCCUGCACUUCGAAUUCUCAGAGAAAAUGACAUCAUUCGGAUUGACUACAUUGUCGGUAUGGUUGGAGGGAGGGUGGAGGUGUGCAGCCGCCUUGUGCAGCACGGCGAAAGGGCUUCAAACGCGCACCAAAUGCGUCCCUCAGAGUUUGGCCUGCUGCUGAAGGCCAGGGCGGCGCAGCAAGACAUCCCUGCAGCACCUGGCAAGCUCUGCACCCUAGCUCUCACGGCAGUGGACAAGGAGGGCCAAGCAGGGCUCCAAGCUGCAACUUUCCCGACGUCCAGAAAUCGGGAACUAGCAGUCUGCCUCCAGAACCCGGUUGCUCCAAAUGGCCGUCGGCAGAUUCGCUUGGAAAGAUACUGGCUGUCAAGCAAGAUGUACCCUUCCUGUCACUACCCUCACGUCCUGCCACCAGCAAUGCUACCAUAAACGGGAAAUCCACUGCAGCUGCCCCCCCACCUGGAGCCUACAGUCUGCAUCUUCUUGGGCAGAAUGGAGUAAUGCAAGUCUUUGACUCUUCCGAUAUGGUGGAAGCCAGGGAGGGGCAGACUUUCUGGGAGGUGGCGGUCACUGUGGACAGCUUCUACAGGGAUGGCAGGACGGUCUUGAGCCAACUCAACCCGGAAUCGUGCGAAAUAGUUCGAUGUAGUCAAAUUUGAUAUAUAAAAUCAUGUAAAAAACGCGUAAAGAGCUUUUACAAAUCAAUCAAUGAACUUCACACAAAGUAUCUAUUUCUUUGGCUGUAAGUACUGCAGCAGUGUAGCCUGCUGCUUAUAGGCAGCCACGUGCUUAACCGUGGUGUCGUCAACAUAGUCUAAACGAUCCACAAACAAUAGGCCGACGCCUUCUAUUGUGCCGUAGUAGCGGCGCAGAAGGGCCAAAUUAAGCAGCUACAGCCUCAGUUGAAGUUGGGACCGCGGCAAAAUGAACGCUUGCGGGAUCAACCUCGGCAGUGUCUUCGCGUUUGGCUGCUACUUCCACUGCAAUCUCUACAUCCCAAGUGACCUUCUGUUUCUUGCAAAGGAACACUGGGACUGUUUUGUAUUCAGUUUCAUUAUUCGUUUGAGUUCUUUAUUCCCCAGGGAGCGCUUCUGUUCUUCGUUUUUUAUAUAUGGUUGUAUAUGUUGAAUAAACGGCUUUUUACAUCGGGACGGCUGGAGCCUGACUUCGACCUUCGAAAGUGCCUCAUUGGCGACGAGGAUGUCGUGAACGUACCCCCAGCCCCGCUGCACCAUCUUCAUCCGCCCACCACGAGUUUCACCGGGCUUGCUCUGCCGCCGUUUUUCCUUGCAACUCCUGGGCGCCCGUCAUUGCCAUGGGAGCAGUGGGAAAAGAUGUUCAACGUGUACUUGCUGGUAUCCGGAGCCGCCACAUUCAAGCGGGAGCAACGCAAGGCUAUUUUUUUGCAUUGUUUGGGGGCGGAGGGCCAGCAUAUUUAUCAGACGCUGCAUGCAGGGACCAGCGCUGCAGCACCGGCAACGCCAAGUGCCGCAGCACUCGCCGAUGACAAGUCUGUCCUGGCCCCUCCUGGCAGUUACGACUCGGCACUCGCUGCAUUGCGGCACCAAUUUUCGACAUCGUGCAACGUUAUCGUCGAGUGUCAUCGCUUUCACUGCCGCAGGCAAAACACAGGCGAGUCCGUUCAUGAAUUUCUUGCUGCUCUGCGAGAGCUAGCGUCACAUUGUUCGUCUGCCUUGCAAGAUGAUACUCUGCGGGAUCAAUUCGUUAUCGGCAUAGCUUCCACUGGCGUACGUGAGUGGUUCCUGCUCGAGGGUUCCACACUUUCAUUUGAGAAUUUAUUUCGAAUUGCACUUCAGUUUGAGCAAAUGGCUAAAGAGUUAAAGGAACUUUGUGCUUCGGUCGAAGCAACUUCAUUGCGGCAGCGUCUUAAACCAUCGUCGCAUUUUUCGCAAAAAAAAGCAAUUCACAGCCGACAGCCACCUUUCAGCAGAAUUUAACGAGGAGUGUGCGCGGCUCACGUGCGCCACAUCGGAACCGCCCCCUGAACGGAACCGAGAACAGAGUAGACGCACCGUUUCGCCACAUUGUUUCCGAUGCGGCUUGUGGGACCACAUCGGCCGCAGUGCCCAGCCCCUGACAAGACUUGUUCGUUUUGUGGUCGCAAGGGCCACUUUCAAAGGGUGUGCAACCGCAAACGAACUCAGAUGCAAGGCCGAGUUAGUGAAGUUUAAUUUCAUGAAGAUGUUUCAUCAUCUAGUAGUGCUGAGCAAGUUUUGACUGUGCAACGUUCCACGCGUAGCGGAAUCCAUGUUCAAGUGCAAGUUGCGAAUGUCACCUUGACAUUCCUUGUCGAUUCAUGGUCGUCUGUGUCAAUCAUGUCGGAGCAAGAAUUCAGUCUAUAUUUUCAGAGCGUUCCGCUCCUGCCUUCUCUGCAUGUUACUCUGUUUGACUACUCUCAACGACCGAUUUCCGUGCUAGGUUGUUUCCAGGCAGACGUUCGGUUUAAAGGUCGCACAGCGUCGCUACGUUUUUAUGUUGUUCACCGAGGAACUUGUCUGAUCGGUCUUGGCGGCAUUAAAGGCUUGAAUCUUCGCAUUGAGGGUUCUGCUCUCAAGUGCUUGUACACGUACAUUGCUCCGCUGCCGACUAUCGUUGACCCGCUAUCCUGUUCCAUUUCCACACCGUCAAGCGCGCAGCCCCGUGGCAAACAUCUUCCGCCAGCCUUAGCACGUGAAUUCAGUUCACUUUUCAGUCCUGAGUUGGGUCUUGCUAAGGGGUUCACGCAUCGCAUCAAGACGCAGCAAGGCGGGCAGCCUGUAACUUCGAAGCUUCGCCGUCUGCCAUAUUCUUUCCGGUCAUCAGUAUCAAAUGAUGUUCAGAGGUUGCUGAGCCUUGUCAUCAUUGAAUGCAUCGAUGCUUCUGAAUAGGUGUCCCCCAUUGUUGUUAACAAGAAAGAUGGUAGCAUCAGGAUAUGUGUAGAUAUUCGAGAGCCGAACUAAGCUAUUCUUCCAGACAGUUUCCCGUUGCCCCACACAGAGGAACUGCUUCACGCUUUGGUAGGCACUACACACUUCUUAAAACUUGACUUGGCUUCCUGUUAGGUUCUCUUGCACCCUGACAGCAGGGAUCUGACAGCUUUCAUCACUCGUGAUGGUCUUUUCAGUUUUUUAAAACGGAAAAGUUUGCUUUGGGUUGGUUUUCGCCCCAGCGGCAUUUCAGAAGAUGGUGACAAUCCUUGACUGCUGCCCUGGCAUGUUCUACAUUGACGAUGUCAUCAUUUUUGGCAAGACUGCAGAAGAACACUUUUCAAACUGGAAGACCGUGCUGCAAAAUAUCAAGAACGCAGGUCUGAAACUGAACCACAAAUGCCUCUUCAAUGUUCCAGAACUUGCGUUUCUAGGGCACAAGGUCACCGCACGUGGUAUUUCGCCACAUCCAUAGAAGGUAGACUCUAUAGUUAACACACCAGUGCCAACUGAUGCUGGCACCCUUCUUUCAUUCCUGGGUCUCGUAGAAUAUUACUCCAAGUUUGUUCGACACUUGACGCAAGUGGUCGAGCGUAUGAGAGUCUUACUUUGCAAAAAUGAGCCGUUCGUCUGGUCAGCUGAAGUAGACAGCAGUUUCAGGAGGGUCAAGGAAAUGCUUUCGUCCUUCCAGUACAGGCCGUCCAUAUGUUUGAUCCAUCACUUCCAGUUAUUGUGUCGACCGACGCGUUUGACUGUGGGCAGGGAGCAGUCCUGCAGCAACACAGUGGCCCCGAGCUCUGCACUCUCUGGAUAAGCAAGUGGAAACGGCAGUAGAAAACUGCCACAUUUGCCUGGAGGCAGAUAAGUCUGCCAACACAUCACCAGCACCGUUGCAACCUGUUGAAUGGCCUGAGCGACCGUGGCAUAAGCUUGGCCUAGACAUUGUUGGGCCUUUGGAGCAUGCAGCUUACAACAGCAGAUUUGCUGUAACACUUGUUGACUACCGUUCUAAAUAGCCGAAGGUAUAUUUUUGCAGCGAAGUGUCCACGAGCACCGUGAAAGAUGUUUUAACAAGUGUUUUUGCCCAUGAAGGCUACCCAUAAGAGAUUGUUUGUGACAAUGGGCCUCAGCUCACUUCGCCUGAUUUCAUCACUUUCCUGCAAAACGGAAGCAUCAGUCUUUCACAUUCUUCGGCCUACUACACCCAAGCCAAUGGGCAAAUAGAAUGUUUCAAUCGCACAUUGAAAAACUUGAUUCAAGUCGCACUCCUCGAAAUAUGACCACUCCGGCGAGCUGCCACAGAAUACCUUGCCAUUUACCGCUGUACUCCGCACGCCACCACCGGGGUUGCCCCAGCAGUUCUGCUGCAUGGUAGAAUGCCCCGAGCCAGGCUGGAUGUCGUGGGUUUCUCAGCUCCAGCAUUUGCGGAAGACCCAGCCAAGGAGUUGGCGCGACUUCGUCAAAGGGUUCGGCGUCAACAGCAGAGCAGCAAGCACUACACGGACAAAAGGAGAGCCACCAAGAAGACGAAGAUAGCCGUUGGUAACUUUGUCCAUAUCAAAAAACCGUCCGUUCGUGUCAAGGGAGACUGCGCCUUUUCUUGACCUACUAAGGUGAUCAAGAGGAGGGGAGCAGCCUCUUUCCGACUUGGAGACGGCCAUAAAUGGAAUGCCUCCAAGCUUUCCAGGGUUCCAGAGAGGGGCACCUGGGAACCAGGCCAGCCUGCCAAUUUACAGCCGCGAUCUCCUGAUGCGCUGCAGCCCGCCACGCCACAGCCUUAGUCCCCUGAUGUGCUGCAGCCUGCUGUACUACAGCCGUGUUCGCUCAGGAUGCAGGCACAGCCUCCUGGCAUACUGCAGCAGCAAUCUACGAGCCCGUAGCCAUUGUUGCCAGUGCGACAUAGAAAGCGGCCGACCCAAGAGCGCCGGCCACCGGCCUGGCUCCAAGACUACGAGACCAACUAGUUGGUCGUCUGACAUUGUAUACAUACUCUGUAAAUAUGUGUAAAUAAGUACAGUGUGCAUGCCUUGGGGUUUCCUUACUAAUACUUACUAACAACUAAUCACUAAAAAUAAGGGGAGGGGUAUGUUGUAUUCAGUUUCGUUAUUCAUUUCGUUUCUUUAUUUGCCAGGAGGGGCUUCUGUUCUUCCUUAUAUAUAUGGUUGUAUAUAUUGAAUAAACGGCUUUUUACAUCGAGACGGCUGCAGCCUGACUUCAACCUUCGAAAAUACCACAGACUGCUUACCCCUAAUAUCAGUGUUGCCAUAGCCACCGUGCUCCUGAAGCUCUUGCUGCUGCUCUAGGCCUCCGAAAAGUGAGCUAAGUUUUUUCUUCCCGUGCCUCUCUCUCAGCACAUCAUGUUCACAGUACAAGCUGACUUUGGAGCAUUGGACAUUGGACAUUUGGACAUUGAGAGUUUUGUAUUGGGUCUGUGAUUGCGAGUGUGAACCGGCAACAGACACACUCAAGCAAUCGCGGCACGAGUUUACGCAGUCUUCAACAUGCCACAGAAAAACACAGGAACACGUCUGCUUCACUAAAACUCUUACAUAAGUUUCGUAGGCUUUGUUCUGACGUGUGUUGGCAGGACACCCUUCCGGUGGCUUGUAGCAAUGCAAAUUCAAAAGUCGUGCCUAUCUGCUCCCGGCGAGCUGAUUGGAGGCGCAAAUUGAAAUGGCACACUAACAUGGCUACAUUUCAGACUUCAAAAACGCUACUUCAGGGCCUCUCCUAUUUUGUUUCUUUCCUGCAUGGGUUCAUGAGCGCCGCCAUGUUGCUACGUUGAGGUUGCCAGCUCCCGAGACGAUUGCUAGACUUGACAAUAGUCAACAAGAGUGGUUGCUUGGGCUAAUUCAUGGUAAAAAUGUCGUACAGCAUGAAGGACAAGGGCUGAGAAUGAUGAUAAACACAGUAGUCAGAGCAACCGAUAGCGUGUUGCUUGUAAUGGUGCAAUGUGGUGUGCGUGCAGCUGUGUGUGGGGGUGUCUGGGCUUUAUUCUAUGGUACGGGUGUUGGCUGUGCAGGUGGCAGUUAUGCAGUCAAAGGAUGAUCCUGUUAAAGUUUCCGGUGGUGUGUGGUUUUCAACGGUCACACACUGUUAGCUGUUGCAAGCGUCGCUUAACGAGGUUAUGUGUCAGGAGCUCGGAGCUCUGCUUGGCCGAUUCCUCGUUGGAGUUUGAAGUGUUGGUCGGCAGAUCCCUCGUUGGGCAUUCCAUAAUUCUCCUCGCACGGGCGCGGUAUGUUGCAGAACCCGCAGGGUGGUUUUGUUCUCGCGACGGUAGGUUGGUUUCUUUACAAGUACUGAUCUAGCUGGAGAGCACGUGUAACCGACAAAUGGAAGUAUCAGGAGGGCAUAUGAGAUUAUAAUUAAGCAGGCUGCGCAGGAUCUCCAGGGCACCAAAGGGACAGUGGGUGUAUCAAAGUCCAAGCAUGGUAGUCCGUAGGUUGGGGUCGCCAAGGCCGGUGCGUGCCAGGGAAUGUUUGCACAGGCAGCUCCCUAGGCACGCACAGCAGUGUCUCACAAGGUGGAGAUACUUUAAAGGCACCUGUGCCCAUGAUCUUUUGUCUCGUGGCGCAGUGAGCACGAUUAACCAGAAGAAUAUGGAGGGCAUCCGGUGCAGUCGCGAAUGCGAGUGAUGGCAUAUAUAGCUCGCGUCGCCAGAGGUAUGUAAUAAUACCAGAGUUAGUUGUAUGAACCGUAUGCUUAAUAUGCUUUGUUACGGUACCCUAAAGGAAUGGGUCAAGAGGACGUUAUAUUGCAUGCAUUUGGUAUGUUUGUUCGUGCCGCAUCUACUCCUAUACCCCCCCCACGCGCGCACCCACCCUUCUUUUUUCUUUUUUAUAUGUGUACAUAUAAUCCCUCCCCAUGACGGAUUAACCAGUUGAAGUUGUCAACUUGUCACUAAAAAAUAACCGUCAUAUGCAUUACCAUAAUAAACAAUUCCACAAUGAGA
This is a non-coding RNA of Dermacentor albipictus, 13264 nucleotides long. NCBI's taxonomy places the organism in Eukaryota, Metazoa, Arthropoda, Arachnida, Ixodida, Ixodidae. The record is from RefSeq and is a predicted model, not a curated record.